RNAcentral lists this long non-coding RNA (11048 nucleotides) under Fragaria vesca (wild strawberry). RNAcentral describes it as "long non-coding RNA (FVES_LNC003376)". The record is from RNAcentral. Lineage: Eukaryota; Viridiplantae; Streptophyta; Magnoliopsida; Rosales; Rosaceae.
UGUCACUCUGGCUCUUGUAUCCAAUCACAGUGAGCACAGUGAUGUACAAGAACAAAAGCGUAGCGAUGAACUCGGCAAUGAUGGCUCUGUAAAAAGACCAUUUUCCAAACUCCUCCGGAUCGAUCAAUGGUGUUGGGGGUGGGUCGUGGUAGUCCUUGGCAGCAAAACCACCUACUUCAAUGUCCUUGGCCAUGGCUACAAGCUAGCUGAAGCAGAACUAGAGAGAUGAUCGAAGAGAGACACAAGUGAGUGUUUUGUGUGCUUAGAAAGAGACUGGUAGCUAGUGUUGGUGAUGAGAAACUGAGAUAGAGUAGAGAGUUGAUGAGUUUAUAUGGGGCGCUUUUGGAGUGAGAUCGAGUGAAAGUGGCGUGGGAAUAUUAAACUUUUGCACUUAGCCGUCCAUGGCUUCUAGGUCACAAAUUUUCGUUGCCCUUUCUCUUUCAAUGACCCACCUUGUCUAAUUUAUGCUCUAGUAGUUUCUACACCAAAAAAUGAAACACGAGAAUAUUGAUCUGGAGUGAGGAUUUCAGAACCACUAUUUGAGUGACACGUGCCCCUAGAUCGUUGCCGGACUCCGGCGCCGAAAUGUUUGACAGGUCAAAAGCUCGCAGGAAAAUUGUGAGAGGAUGGUGAAAAAUGGGCGAGCUGAGCAUGCAAACCGACCAAUCAUCACCACCGCCCCAUCCAAGUUCCAACUCAGAAACACAUCACCCUCCCAACCACUCAAUCUAGCUGCUUUAGAUCAAUCACUUGAAUGGAAUGUUGUGGCCUAAUCAACAUUAUCCCUGUGCUAUAAUAAACCAGAAAAGACGAACAGAUUCCAGCCUAAAAUUGCAAGGAAAAAGAUUAGGGCUGUUGACAAGUCACGAGUAAUACAUGCAAAUGGAAUCAUCCAGACCUGUGGUGGGGUUUUUGUUGAAGGUUGGAUGGAAGCUUCAUGAUGUAUUGAUGUCCAUGAUUUAAGAAGAAAUGGGAAGGUGGAAAAAAAAACAAAAGAAAAAGAACUACGUACAGAACCCUCGAGUUCGAUCACCUUCUCUAGAAUCUUCUCUCUAUAUAUGCAACAUUGAUCAUAUUGGCCUAUUGGGUCUGUGUUUUGAUCAUAUUGCAAAUCCAGGGUUGAUGUUCUCAGUUUGCAAUCUUAAACAAUAUAAUUAACAGGGUAUUUAAUCUACAACUCCAACAACUUGUUCAAAAUUUAUUUAAAAUAAGGAAGCAAAAGUUAAAAUUUCUAAAAAAAUUAUGCUUAAACUCCAACAGCUGCUCUAUUUUAGAGAUUUCGAUAUUUAUUACAACAAUAAAAUAGACUACAUAAUUAUUAAUUAUAAUAAAAAAAUUAUUUUGAUUAAGGAACGCUUUGCUGCAAAUUUAGAGAAUGAAUCAUUCUCUUUUUUCUCCAUCCUUAUCCUCAUUUUAGGAAAUGAGAUAGGAAAACUGUUAGACCUUAAAAAAUAAAAAUGCUCAAUAUUCCCCAAAUUUAAGAAAAUAGAAAAAAUAGGAAAGUUGUCAAAAUACUCUAAAACAAUAGAUGAGUGUAUGUGGAUCGUAAGAUAAGGAGUUAAAUAUUUCAGAAGUGAUUAAAUAAAUCCUCAUAUUCCACUCAAGCUAAGUUUGAUCAACGAGACUCCCAUUUAAGUCUAACUUGAUGAUAGUACAAUAGUACAUGAUUAAGAUGGCAAUACUAACGCCCUUUUCCUAGUAGCCGAUUGAAAGGAAAUGGCAAAACAACGGUCUUUCAAUACUGACAUUCUAGAGAAACUUAAUUGGGAGCUCUAUCCAUACCAGGAGCGGCUGUUGUUGAGAUAUCAAUCAUACAUCGGAAAUAUGGGACCUUGCUUGUGCGUUAAUAAAGGUUUGGGACACUUCAUCCAUUGUCAACUGGUUUUAGAUGUGAACCCUAGACUACUUUAUCAACUGUGACUUGUGAGGUAAACUUCACAAAAGUAAACUGCCAUAAACUUUUUGAUGAUGUUUUGGCCACGAUCUUCAGCAGGGGUAGAGAGGUAACUUAGUAGGUCCAAAUGUAAAAAGAGAGGAUGUAGGGCGUGCCACCGCGCGGAUGCAGAAUGUAAAGUGCGCUGGUACUAGACUUCUAAUCAAACGACUUGGGCUUCCGGUGCCACCUUGCGGACGAGGGAUUACAAUCAAUCCUCCUAUUCGUUUGCAAUCGAUACUCGGCUGGCAAGCAGAGCAACAAUUAGAACAGUAAACAAGGCAAGACCAAACUGGCUCUGUAAGGCUAAGGCGAGGUGCUUUAGCGUCUGGGUUUCGAGUGAAUCAAAGGUUUGUAAUUUGUUGUAUGAGAUGAUUGUGUGUUUGGAGUGAUCCUCGAACCCUCCUUAUAUAGGGGCUCGUAACUAACUGAUAAGGAUGCAAUCCCACAACAUAAGUAGGAUUCUACUACCAAUAGUUGUACAAGGAUUCAUUUUGCUUGCAAACUAAGUAACUGGGUGACGCGUGUCCAAUUACAUAGGUAGACUUCACUUAGGUCACAGGUACUGACCCUUCGCUUAUCGAAAUCGAAAGCUUCUCAGUCUCUCCGACGCGAACUCAAACACUGAAGACUUCCUAAUCCCGCAAGGUGUUACAGUUCGCAUAGGAACCCACCUUGCGUGUCUCCAGAGUUCACGCCCUCAACAAGCUUUAUUUUUAUUUUAGGGCCACAUGUACUAGCCCAAAUAUUAUCCGAGAUUUUACUAAUUUAGUCUUGAACCAAAAUAUCAACUGGGGUCAAACAGAUGAAGGGAAACUUAAUCUACUUCAUCGCAGAGGCCGCAAUGGCUGGAUCCAGCACAAGCUUAACCUUCCACGAUUCUCCAUUGAAACAAUCAAAUUUGGUGCUUAUAGCAAAGUAGGAGAAUUCUUCUUUUCUGACCAUGGUGAUAACAUGCUCAAGUUAUUAGUUACACCCAACGGAUAAAUUUGCUGGAAGUAUCGUAAAGUAGUCUAUACGAAUGACAAUUCACCAGGAACUUUUUAUUUUCAUAGAAGCACAUAGUUCAAGAAAGCUGACAUGAUGAACAAGCUGGGGUUGGUAGAUCUUCUUGAGGAUGUUUCAUUUUCUGUUUGUGGAACUCAAACGGAGCGUCAUGGUAUAGACGAUUUCAUUUAUAGUGAGAUCUAUGAGAAAAUCACUAAUCAUGAUCGAUGAAGAAUCCAAGAGCCAGAGGAAAUUCAAGGGGUAUGGAUCAAACCCAACAUUCUAUCAAAUCUCUCCAAACAAGCAGAAUUGGUAACUUAGUAUGAGCGCUUUGGUUAUUAAUAUUGUAGUAACUUUGAUCGACUCUCAUACUUCGAUUCAUUUUAGGUUUUCUAGGGUUCUUUUCUUUUAAUCCUGAACUUCUUUUGGAUUGAACUCAUGCUAACAAGUAACAACCAGAAUCAGAAGUUGUGUUGAUCGAUCGACCAACAUUUAUCAUCUUUUUUUACCAUGAUAUAAAUGAGAAGUUGGUAGUUUCUAAAGUUUGCACCACAUGCAGAGACGGAACAUAGUACUGGGUUCUCUGGGCUGUAGCCCAGCAGAGACUUUUUUGGUUGUUUAAAAAUAGUUUAGGGUAUGUAUUUAUAAAAUAAGCAUAUAUAGGGAGAGUAGCCCAUAUAAAAAAAAUUAAAUAUGUAGAGAUAUGGACAGAAAAUAAAAUAAAAAAAUCUUCCUAAAUCUACUCUACUCCUACACGGCACCACAACUCCACAUAUCCUUUAUUAAAAAAAAAUAAUCAUUCACCUAAUUACCUUCAUCAACUCCAAGUCUUCCUUUCCUUGUUCUCCGACCAAAAAAAGAGCUCUCCCCCCCCUGUGGCCCUAUCGAAGAAAAACUCUCCGUCUCUCUUGACUCAAAAAAGAGUCUCUCGUACGGAAAAAAAGACAGUAUUUUUGAUCAAUAUUAUUAGGAAUCAAGAGGUAUGUUACUAUUUUUUUUAGAUUCUUACAUCUAAAUUCAAACUUUAAUUCUAAGAUUAUAUUAACUAUUAAAUUUCUGAAUUUGGGGAUAUGAAUACAAUUAUUUUCUGAAUUUGGAUUUUUGUAUAAAUAUUGAAUCAAUUUUGCUCUUUUAGACCCAAAAAGAUUGAAGACUAUAUUGUCGUUUUUCUGAAAGAACGCUAACUCUUCAAGAGACGAGUCUACAAACUCAAACCCUUCAUCAGAAUAUUACUAGUCUUUCAGAAUUAUAUGUGAAAUUGGUUGAAACAAGAUUAGCAGAAGACACCCACUUGAUUCAUAGAUUGCUUUGUUUGGUAUUAACUCUUCCUGUCUCUACGGCAUCGACGAAAUGAGCAUUUUUAGCUUUGAGAAUUAUUAAAAAUCGACUUCGGAGCAAGAUAGAAGAAGAGUUUCUUGAUCAUUGCAUGUUGGUUCAUAUCGAAAGACAAUUUGCUGAUAGUAUUAACAAUGAGUCAAUUAUUGAUGAAUUUGCUACAAAAACUCGUAGAGUUCAGCUUAAAAUUAGGUAGUCAGAUUGAGUUUUUUAUAUAUGUAUGGAUUCUACUUAAUCUAAUGAUCUAAUUUUUAGCCUUCAAAAAAAUGAUCCAAUUUUUAUACAUUUUGAAUUUUUUAUCUAAGAAAAAUUUAACCCAGAUAGUUUUGGAAUCCCGGUUUCGUCCCUGACCACAUGAUCUCCCUUUCGUAGUUUCGUGGAAGCCUAUUUUGCGAAGAAGCCGAAGAUUGCAAAAUACUACUGGUGAUCCAGAAUGAACUUCACAAGAGCCAUUAAAAUUGGAAACACCGGUGAGAAUGUACAUGACUAUUUGUACAGAACAAGACUAGAUAUACAGCAAACGCCAAAGUUGCAGCAAUUUAAACAUAUUGCAGGAUUCUUAAUCCGAAAUAUCGAAGGGCUUGUCUUGUGGCAAUAAGAAUAUUGAACGUACGUUUGAGAUGCUGCUUGGCCAUCUUUUGCGUGGCAUUUAGCAGAGAGCAAAAUAUUGACGAAAAAAUGUAUCAGUUAUUGCAAUCAUUAAUAUGGAAUCUUAUGCGCAAUAGUGAUUACAUCUACAAUAAGAGCAAGGAAAGGGAUCAAACUCAAGUCUCAUCGUCCACAAAAAAUUCAAGGUAGUACUUGGUAUGUCCAAUCCAACGCCACAACCUACUACAAACUCCUCACAAAAGCCAACAAAAGAAGAAAGAAAUAGCAAAAGUAGGACAUUAAGUUAUAAUCGAUCUCGGUGCUCCUGCAAGUCAUAAUCCUGUAUUUCAUGUUCCGAUUCUUCUUCUAUCGUCUCCAAUUUAGGAGAAGUUGAAGUCUUGCUGGGAUAUCUCGGAAGGGAAGAUGCAGCUUCAAUCAAAGAACCCAGGAACCUCACUUCCUUCGUCAUCGAUCGCAAUCAAAUGGUUGAAGCUUGUUUCCUAACUUGGACAAGCAAAGCUAUUGGAAGAUGGAGUAGUGGUGACUAUUUAGUUUGCCUCGAGAAAGAAAAAGAUGCUUAAAGAAGUCAAUAGUUGCAGAUUCGUGUUAUGGAGGUUUCUAGUAAUAAUGAGUAAGAGAGUGAGUUGAAGGGAAAGUUGGGGAAGAUGCCUUUUUAUAGAAGGUUCAGGGGUUGGGCCGUUGGGGUAAUAGUUAUAUCAGCGGAUGGAAAUGCACCAGAAAUUGCAGAAAGUAUCUACCACUAAAGUUUCAACUUUGAAUCCACGUGAGGAACAUGGGAAAUGUGAUAACAAUUGUAACAGAGUGAUCUAUGAUUACCGAUUUUAACCUUAUGGUGUGUUGAAUCCAGUCAGCAAAGCAAUAUCCUAAUUUGACAGACACGUAUCGAUGUUGAUUUGACUGUCAAAGAAUUUGUAAUCGUUGAUCAUCAAGCAAUCAAUACUGGGUGAAUCAGUAAUAGACAGAGCUAUGAAGAGACCAAGGGGGCAUGGGAAAUGUGAUACCAAUUGUAACAGAGUUUGAUCUAUGAUUACCAAUUUUAAGUCAGCAAAGCAAUAUUCCUAAUUUGUACAUACACAUAUCGAUGUUGAUUUGACCGUCGAAGAAUUUGUUGUCAUUGAUCAUCAAGCAAUGCUUAGGGAAUCACGGUAAUGGACAGAGCUAUGAAGAGAUGAAGAGUGACAUCCCUCCCCAUCGUUAGUCUGAUUUGUUGUAGUUAAAAGCAAUAAUCAUGUUAUUAGAUACUUAUUCAAGCGCAAACAAAAAACUCUAAAGGUGAAAGCAGCUGCACCAAACACUCGACCCUCGUUGAGGAUCUAAUCUUCAACCCCUCAUGUCUCCUCUUCACCAUGUCCUCCCUCCUUCAUUGAUGAUGUUACCAAAUCCUUCGCGACAUCGUUGGCUCUUACUAGUCUGGAUGUCAUUGAUCUCUCAAAGUUUUAAAAAAGCUCUCAACAAAAGAAAACACUGCAAUAAUCCUUUCUCUUUGCAAAGCCGUUGUGCACCUCCUCUAUGAUUGUUGCCGACCUACGGCGUUUCUUCAAAAGGUCUUGAACCCUAGAGAAGAAUUUUCAGGUGCAUCAGCGAUCACCGGAACUGUUUACCAUUGAUUUGAUCGCAACAAUGUGCUCCCAGGAGGACCAUGGUGGUAUGACAAGGCACCAAUUUUUCUUCAGAUAUAUGAUGGUAUCACUCCGAUCGAGCAGGUAAAAAUGAUCUCUCUUUUUUUUUGGGUGAAUAUUACAAAGAUCCCUCCUCGCUUUGAAGAACCGGAUUGGAUGUGUUAUGUUGCAUCAGUUGUUGGUACGUUUAAGUGCCCAGAUGACAAACUCUUUGAUGCUACUGGUGAAAUUAGGGUCAUGUAGAAUAUGAACUCUCUGCAUCCUUUUAUCCGUAAAAGACUCUUCAUUUAAGAAAAGAACCGUCAUGGAUCGCAAAACAGAAUGAAACAGAAACCCAAUCCAUUUUGACAGAAUAAAACAGAAAAGUAAAAAUUUCCAAGAAAAUUAAAAUUUGCGAGAAAUAUGUUUGUAAAUUGGAACUAAACCUUCAUGCUAGAUAACAGAAAAUGAAUCGAUUUUUUAUGGAUACAAAUUUCAUUUUUUUUGACAUGAAAAUCAUAUUGCAAGUGCAUAUAUAGUUUCUACAUGAUACCUCGCCAUAAAUGCAUAAAGAAGAGCAAUGAUUUAUUAUCUGUCAAUAUUUGCAAACACAUCAGAAUAGAACCUUAAAUAGGAUAUUGGAGCAAAUUAAAUAGAAAUCAUUUUAACUUUGUUUUAAAAUGUAGUCAUUGUACAGGACUGCAUUCGUAAUGUAAUGUCUAACCCUUUUUUUUUUGGUCAUGAAAUCUGGAUUCUGUUUGUAUUAAUCUGAUCUGUUUGUGUUGAUAAAUUUUUUGUGUUACUUGAUCAGUCUUACUGAGCACAAUCCAUUUCCAAUUUCAACAGCCUCAAAAUCCUGAAAUUGUAAACAAACUUACGGUUUAAUGUCUGCAACCUAUACCUGAACUCAUUUACACCUUUAACUUAAAUCAGAACUCUAAACUUGUUGACGUCAGAGAAGAUACCUCAACUUUCUAUUACAAUGAAUUAAGCAAAAAUAGAAACAAAAGGACAUUGUAUCUUUACCAAAUUGAAACUCAAUGCUUCACCUCAAUUAAUUCAACACUUGUAAGAAAGUGGGAAGCAAUUUCUGUUUAUUCCAUUGACAAAAGAGGUAAAAUCCAACAACAUCAAGAACGACAAAUUUUCUUGAUUUAGAGUGAAACUUUCUUUGUUAUACAUCUACUUACUGACGGCCUAAUGAUAUCCUUCAGAGGAAAAUCAUAUCAAAAACAAAACAGAAGCUCAAUCCCUUUCAACAACCUUCUACACUAUCACUGAAAAACUUAAAAGUUGACACAAACUUGAAGUUUUUAAACUUUAGACAGAAGGAAAAUAAAAUAUCAAUUGGCGCCGGACUUCUGAUCAUGGUCUUCUGCCUCCAGCUCCCACUCUUCAGUAAUCGUCUCCAGUUCAGGAGAAGCCGACGUCUUGUUGGGACGUAUCAGAAGGGCAGGCGCUACUUCAAUCCAAGAAACCAAGAAUCUCAUCCUCUCUGCCAUUGCAAUCGAACAAUCAAAUCCCUUGUUAACUGCUCUCCCCGGCUUCAAAAGUAAUGAAACGAGCAACUCUGUAUUCUUCGCUCUCAGCUAAUGAAGGAACUCAAAGGAAGCAACGAUGAGGAAAGAAGCACUAGCUUCUUGAGUCUAAAGAGAAGGGAUGUCUGAAAUGGUGGCCUGGGAAUCGGAAGCAAAUUGAUUUGGUGAUUUCUCUUGUUGGUGAAGAUUGUUAUUUAUAAAGGCUUAGUAACUAUGCUGUCGGUGAGAACUGACAAGUGUGAAGGAAACUACGCCAUAAGGGUAGCCAUCACCUACAGUUGCCAAGCAUGCGAAGAACAUGAGAGAAAUGUGAAAAGCAAUUCUGCACAUUUUGUCUUUGGCAUGAUUGCAUGUAUAGUAAUUUUUCGUAUUAAACGCUAAUAAAUUACUUAGUCACGUUCCAAAUUGAAAUAAAGUUGAAUGACUCUGCAUUCAGAAGGGUUGAUGAAGUUGAUAGUUGAUGAAGAUGGUUUAGCAAGAGGAUUAGUAAAGAUGUAACUGGUUGGGAAAAUUGUCUAGGACGAACAAUCAUCUGGUACUCAUUUAUCGUAAAUCUAUUUACAGAUAUCGACACAGAAACUAAUUACAAAUUUACAAUGAAGUGAUAAAUUCAUCGGAAGAACUUCCAAUUCAUCUGUUAAAAGCGCUCAACUGAAGCCUGCAUCCAUCUGUGAACCACGGCAAUUCCCUUUCAUACGAAACGGAGGCUUUCGAGAUGAAUCCAUCCAAACAGUCUUUAAGAAUGUGCAUCAGAUCCAUAUUCGAAGAUGGCAAGAAGGCCAUUUGAAAAUCUAUGGCUCAUCAUCACAUUCCUCAACACUUUCCUCAAGAAUCGUCUCUAAACCAGGAAUAUUCGAAGUCUUUUGUGGGUAAGUAAAAGGGGCUGGAGCAACCUCCAUCCAUGCAUCCAGAUUUCUAAUGUCCUUUGCCAUUGAAGCAAUAUAAAAGUUGAAAAACAAGUUACGAAUUCUGACCCCAAACGAGUUCGGAAACUGAGGCCUCGGACUCUCUUCCCCCUUAGAAACAAGAAAGAAGAGAGAUCAACAGGGUUUCUUUUGUGUCUAUUGUAAGAGAACACAAGGUAAUCCCUACAUCGGUAGAAAUGUGGAGGCCUUUAUAUAGUAGAGAAGGGUAGGUCAGAAUGGGACAUUACCUAAAAAGAGACUUUGGGAGACUAUUGGCAAUCCGCAACCCUUGUACCUGAAUAUAGGCCCAACAUUCCCAAUUCCUUUGCAACAGGUAUAGGCCACAGAAUGAAGAUGAAACGUGCAAGGAAUGCAAGAAGCCUCCACAUUUCUGUGCCAAGAAAGACAGCUUCUAGAAAGUGCAAAACCCAUUGAACAUUACCUCACAUUUCUGGCGCCAAAUUUAUCAUAUUUAUUUUCUACCUCUAGCUUCUGUGCCAAGGAAGACAGCUUCUGGAAAGUGCAAAACCCAUUGAACAUCACCUCACAUUUCUGGCGCCAAAUUUAUCAUAUUCAUUUUCUACCUCUAACUUCUGUGCCAAGAAGGAAAGCUUCUAGAAAGUGCAAAACCUAUGGAACAUCACCUCACCCGCCGCUACAGUUUAUAACCAUUGCAUACCAUGGAUAUGUAUACAGUAUAUCUAAGAAUCAUCUGGCAAUUGGCAACUCUGACAAAGCAUAAUGGAUAGCAGUGAAGUGUUCUAAAAGCCUACAAUCAUUUCACAAAACUAUGGCUUAGGAUGGCACAAGAAACACUUAAAGCUCUAACAGUCAAUUUAGGAUCACAACUAUCCAGCAUAUCAAAGUCUCAACUCCAAUGUAUCCAGCAACAAAAAAGAUUAUUCACUUUGCUUCUGCCAUUUGUUGCAACUAACUACAACUCGGAUUAGUAAUAAAUGAGUCCAUCAUAGCCAGGAAGACGCAAUUGAUGCCCUACUUACCACAUAACAGAGGAAAACAAAUGAAGCACAAUACCACUCCAUCAUAGCCAGGAAGACGCAAUUGAUGCCCUACUUACCACAUAACAGAGGAAAACAAAUGAAGCACAAUACCACUGAGCAUAUAAAACCCCCCUAUCAGUUGACUCAAUAAAAAAAGGUGCUAGUUUUCUAGGAUACCAACUUGUUAAUUCACAUGUCUUAUUAGCUCCAAGCCUGAGAUUCAGACACAACUCGUGUUUAGAGAUAAACAAACUACGACUCAAAUUCACUUCUUUGUGAAUCCAUGUUGUCAGACUCCAAUCUCCCCUUAUUGCUUCACCUCUAAUUUCCCUAAUCCCCUCAACCACCUAGUUCCUAGAAUAAUGGUACCCAACUACGAAAUAAACAAGAGAAGCACAUAACACCAUCCAAACACUAGAACCAAAUUGUAUUGGCAUACCAAAGUCACUAAACAAACACUAAUCACUCUCAACCAAACAAACACUAAUCACUCUCAACCAAACAAACACUAAUCACUCUCAACCACCAAGUGUGAAACAAAUAAUAUAGCAUCAUCAACCACCUAAGCCAAGCCCCCCCAAAACAUUAGUUAAACAAAUCAAUAAACACAACUCAUGUGCCAUGUGCAUAAGCAAAUGCAGUUCAGAUUAAACAUAAAAAUGUACUGUUGAAACAUCAUUUCCAGCCAAAUCCAAACAUUCGCUCUAAAAAAGCUACAUUUGCUAUUAGAUUCAAUAACACAAAACCAAGCACACAUUAAUCUUCAUAAAUACCAAAACUGGCCUCAAUACCAAACUUAAAAACGACCUCAGUCCAGAGGAACCUCAACGUCUCCGUCGGUGAUCUCCUGCUGCAAGUCCUUGGGGUCCUUCCCAUCCACAGUACACCCAACCGAAACACAAGUCCCGAGGAUCUCCUUCACAGUGCCGCUCAGGUCCUUCGCCAUAGACCUGUUCUUCAUGAUCUUCGCGAUCUCGAUCACAUCAUCAAGGCUGAUGUUGCCGGUGUGCUUGAUGUUCUUUGUCUUCUUCCGGUCGCGCUCGGGCUCCUUGAGGGCCUUGAUGACCAGAGCAGCGGCGGAAGGGACGACGGAGACCUUGGCCUGACGGUUCUGGACGGUGAGCUUGACGGUGACGCGGAGG